Molecule: long non-coding RNA, 1410 nt
Organism: Nerophis ophidion (straightnose pipefish)
Lineage: Eukaryota; Metazoa; Chordata; Actinopteri; Syngnathiformes; Syngnathidae
Exons: 5
Source: RefSeq, a predicted model, not a curated record
UGGAACACCGGAAGCAAGUAGUGAAGUGGAGCCAAGUAAAUUCGUACGUCGUCGAUGAGAUUAAUAUUUUAUUUUUGGACAUUUCCUGAAAAAUGUCAUCAACGCCGAUCCAUAACUAUUUAAUUUAUGUUGCUAACUAACAUUUUUGGUGGCGUUCGAGUGUUUCCAAGGCAGCGCGUCACGGCACACCGAGCAGGUCAUUCAUUUUCUACCGCUUGUCCCUCUGCUUGCUGACAUCCUGCUCAGAAGUCUCCUCCCCACAAAGCGUCACCCGGAAAAGAUCAUCAGUGUGUGAGAAGGAAGCGGAAGUAAGGAAGCAAGGAACAAUGGCCUCCGCUCUCUGGUCACCAAGCAACGCAGGAAGUGAUCAGUGAUCAGCCAAUCAGAUGACAGGAAUGGCCUCUGCGUGCGCCUUCGCCAUCUCGCCGUUCCCUACGGAGAUGUUUGAGAUGAUGUCUGGACGCCGACGGGAAGGGGAAGUGACUGGCGUCACGUUGAACUGUUUACAGUCGGGUCUGGCUUUUAUUUUGCCUCGUCCUUCACUUAAAGUGAAGAAUGCACGGUAACAUCCAUGCCACCUGCAAGAUGAACCUGCAUGUAAGUAUUUAUAUUUAUUGUGAUAAUGUUGAGUGUUUAACUGCAUUAUUUCACAUGCACUUUGAGUUGCAAAAAGAAAGCAAGCAAGAGAAGGAAGGAAGGGAAGAUGAAAGAGUACAAAAAAAGUGUGUAAAACAUGAAAAUGACCUUGAGGAGCGGCUCAUUAAAAGUGUUGGCGGGCUCGGGCUAAUUAGUGAGAUCCCGCUCCCAGUUAGCACGGUCAGCCACAGCAGGAGGUCUUGUUUGUGUGGGGCUUACAGCUGCACGCCGCUAACUCCAUUAGCCUGCUAGCAUGCUAACAUCAUUUGUCUGGCAGGGCAAUUACUGCACCUUGUUUGGACUUCCUGCCAACCACGUAACCAUGACAACACAAAGGCCUUCAGGUUAUUGUCACACCUUGAUUAUUCUCACCUCUGGACAACCUUGAAGUACUUUAUGUUUUGUUUUUCAUGGUUAAAAAAAGACUAGACAAAGUACACCCCAAUAUAUUAUAGGGACGGCGUGGCCGUGCGCAACCCGGGGGUCCCUGGUUCAAAUCCCACCUAGUACCAACCUCGUCACGUCCGUUGUGUCCUGAGCAAGACACUUCACCCUUGCUCCUGAUGGGUGCUGGUUGGCGCCUUGCAUGGCAGCUCCCUCCAUCAGUGUGUGAAUGUGUGUGUGAAUGUGGAAGUAGUGUCAAAGCGCUUUGAGUACCUUGAAGGUAGAAAAGCGCUAUACAAGUACAACCCAUUUAUUUAUUUUAUCAAUAUCUAAACAAACUUAAUACAAGUCACAAUUCCAGUAGUAAAUAUAUCAUAUAUACAUUUAUAU